This 1218-nucleotide ribosomal RNA is filed under the name uncultured Rhizaria. Its description in RNAcentral is "SSU rRNA". It matches the Rfam family "Eukaryotic small subunit ribosomal RNA", at positions 577 to 1805 of the family's 1831-position model. The record is from RNAcentral.
CGGUAAUUCCAGCUCCAAUAGCGUAUACUAAAGUUGUUGCAGUUAAAAAGCUCGUAGUUGGAUUUCUGCGGGGACGGAGCGGCCGGUCGCAACUUGCGACUCGAGCUAGCGCUUUCCCCGCAUCCUGCCGCGAACCGUGCUACCAUUAGCUUGGUGGCGCUGGGGAUCGGCUCGAUUACUUUGAGAAAAAUAGAGUGUUCAAAGCAGGCCACACGCCUUGAAUAAGUUAGCAUGGAAUAAUGACUAAGGACUUCGGUUCUAUUUUGUUGGUGUUCGGGACUGAAGUAAUGAUUGAUAGGGACAGUUGGGGCGGUCUGUAUUCCAAAGCGAGAGGUGAAAUUCUUAGACCUUCGGAAGACAAACAGCUGCGAAAGCGUUCCGCAAGGAUGUUCCCUUUGAUCAAGAACGAAGGUUGGGGGAUCGAAGACGAUCAGAUACCGUCGUAGUCUCAACUAUAAACUAUACCAGCUAGGGAUCGGUCAACGUUUAAUCAUUCGACUUGAUCGGCACCUUAUGAGAAAUCAAAGCAUCUGGGUUCCGGGGGGAGUAUGGUCGCAAGGCUGAAACUUAAAGGAAUUGACGGAAGGGCACCACCAGCCGUGGAGCCUGUGGCUUAAUUUGACUCAACACGGGAAAACUUACCAGGUCCAGACAUAGUAAGGAUUGACAGAUUGAUAGCUCUUUCUUGAUUCUGUGGGUGGUGGUGCAUGGCCGUUCUUAGUUGGUGGAGUGAUUUGUCUGGUUAAUUCCGUUAACGAACGAGACCCCAGCCUGCUAAAUAGCGCGGCUGAGCUUUGCUCGGUGCGAGCUUCUUAGAGGGACUAUGAUGCGCGAUAGCACAUGGAAGUUUGGGGCAAUAACAGGUCUGUGAUGCCCUUAGAUGUUCUGGGCCGCACACGGGCUACACUGGCGCCUGCAACGAGCAUAUCAGCUGGCCCGAGAGGGUCUUGGCUAAUCUUUUGAACCGGCACCAUACUUGGAAUUGACCAUUGCAAUUGUUGGUCAUACAACGAGGAAUGCCUUGUAAACGCGAGUCAUCAGCUCGCAUUGAAUACGUCCCUGCCCUUUGUACACACCGCCCGUCGCUCCUACCGAUGAAUGUUCCGAUGAAAUUUUCGGAGAGCGCCAGAGAACGGGGCUCCGCCUUGCAGAUCUGGAGGCUCAAAGUCACUUAAAUCUGAACAUUUCGAGGAAGGAGAAGUCGUAACAAGGUAGCCG